RNAcentral lists this ribosomal RNA (497 nucleotides) under uncultured bacterium. Its description in RNAcentral is "partial 16S ribosomal RNA". It matches the Rfam family "Bacterial small subunit ribosomal RNA", at positions 28 to 507 of the family's 1533-position model. The record is from RNAcentral.
GACGAACGCUGGCGGCGUGCCUAAUACAUGCCAGUUGAGCGCUGAAGGUUGGUACUUGUACCAACUGGAUGAGCAGCGAACGGGUGAGUAACGCGUGGGGAAUCUGCCUUUGAGCGGGGGACAACAUUUGGAAACGAAUGCUAAUACCGCAUAAAAACUUUAAACACAAGUUUUAAGUUUGAAAGAUGCAAUUGCAUCACUCAAAGAUGAUCCCGCGUUGUAUUAGCUAGUUGGUGAGGUAAAGGCUCACCAAGGCGAUGAUACAUAGCCGACCUGAGAGGGUGAUCGGCCACAUUGGGACUGAGACACGGCCCAAACUCCUACGGGAGGCAGCAGUAGGGAAUCUUCGGCAAUGGACGAAAGUCUGACCGAGCAACGCCGCGUGGGUGAAGAAGGUUUUCGGAUCGUAAAACUCUGUUGGUAGAGAAGAACGUUGGUGAGAGUGGAAAGCUCAUCAAGUGACGGUAACUACCCAGAAAGGGACGGCUAACUACGUG